UGAUCACAAUUGUUAGUCUAUUAAGUUUCUUCUUUCCUUUCAAUCAUGACUCUUCUUUUCGUUGUUGUCGUUGUUUGUUUUUCAUUUCUUCUCUUCACCGAAAAGAGAGAGGCGACCACAACUGAACCUCUUCCUUCUCUACACAGUAGAUCGACAUGCAUGGACACAUGCAUAUAUUUCAUUCUUCUCAAUGGACACUAUUUUAGAGUUCAACUUAAAACACUGUAGGUAACUGUCUGAUUGACCUCUCAUCUUUAUAUUAUAUGCUUUUCUAGGGAAAGGAAAAAGAGAACUUUCACCGGGAUCGAAAAGGAUUACCUUCGACUUCGAACAAGAGUUUCGAGGAAUCAUAUGGUAUUAUGAACCGACGUCCCGCAGGCCGACCGCGAAGGCCUAUACCAUUGGCGGGGCGGGAAUUUUCAGUUAAAACAAUCAAAGUUUAAAAAAGAACACCUCAUACUAAAACAAUCAACUGAUACUUAAUACCAUAAAUCGACCAAGACUUAACUGCUAUAUAAUCAUUAUUUAAAAUCAUCAAAUAAGAGUAGCCAAUACUUUAUCAUAAAAUAUGAUUCCUCGAAGGUCUUGGUCGAAGUCGAAGGUCUUCCUUCUCGAUCCCGGUGGCAGUUCUAUUUUUCCUUUCCCAAAAUAAGCAUGCAAUCAAAAUUUUAGAAGUCAAUUCGACAGUUACAUGCAGAGUUUUAAGUUUAACUCUAAAAUCAUGUUCACUGAAACGAACGAAAAAAAAUAAUAUAUAUAUGUGUGUGUGUCCAUGCAUGUCAAUUUACUGUGUAGAGAUCUGCGGUCGUCACUUGUCAGUGAAGAGGACAAAUAAAUAACAAACGUUAGACCAAAAAAUAAAUAACAAACGAAGACAACAACAAGAAAAAGAGUCGUGAUUGAAAGGGAAGAAGAAAUUUAGAAAACUAAAAGUUGUGAUCAAAAUGAAGAAGAAGAAAAGUAAGCGAAGAACAUUUUCAAUCGCCAGACUCGUCGCUCUACUUCUCCUCGGUGAAAGUGAAACCGAAGAGACAGAACCAAGAAAGAGGAUUCUCGGUGCAAGUAACACAAUCCGACAAGAACCCAUUUUCCCGCAAAUCAAGUUCGGCCUAGCCCAAUACCGUGGGGAUCACACCCGCAAGACCCACAAAUAAUGGGCCUCGAUUUUUCCUGACCAGUUCCACCCUGCCAGAAGUGUUAAUGGGCCAGGGUCUGCGGAACAGAUCACAUAUUGUCAUCUCUAUACUACAUGAACCUAUAUUAAACGACUAACAAUGUUUAUAUAUUAACUAAAUGUUUUAAACUUAAUAUUUUUUUAAACUGGACAUUUUUAUUUGAACACAAUUUAUAAAGUGAAUAUAUUAAUCCGAUAUUUUAAAUUACCAGAAAACAAAACUGAAAAACCAAACUAAUUUGAAAUUGCAUAGAUAUCUAACAAUUUUUAUGUAUUUGAAAUGCUUGUUAUUUUACAUUAAUCAAAUAUUUAUAAUGAAUUGUAAUUUUGUUGCCAAUCAAAAUUUUUUUAUACUUUCUAUUCUACAAAAACUACAUUUAUACCGCUAUUAUAUCAUACAACACUUUCGUUCGGCUUUUCUUAAAUCAUCAAUGUAUAGUCACCAUUUAGAUCCACAGUGAGAGAAGUUGGAGUGGUUUUAAGCAUUUAAAUGCUUCCAAUGUCACUUGGUCGAAUCUCAUGAUUUGUUUUUGUAUUUUUAUGGUUUUAAAAAUAUAAUAGACCAAUUUUUUUUUUAAUUCUUUUUUUUUAACACUGGAUAAUUAUGCUAUUACAAUUCUAUAGCCGACAAUUUUACCUGCCGUAUGAGGAUUCACGCAUGUCUGCAUCACCUGAGUCGCCCUAUGGGAUCCACGCUUGACGAUACUCAUUGCGCCAUGCUGCAUAUCUUUUGUAAACCUUUUUUCUCCCUUAAUUCACAUAAUUCCGCCUUCUCCGCGAAUUGAAACCAGACCUCCUGGUGUAGAAGCAUUAAUGAACAUUUGGUCAAACUACUGGACCAAGGAAACUUCCACAGAAAAAAAAAAAAUCUGGAACCGACUCUAAUUGUACCAACGUUUCAUAUUUCAAACCUAGAUCUAGCUAGAUUGACACAAGGAGAACGAAGAGGGUACAAAUCUAAUAGCAACGACAUAAAAUCUAGAACAAGAAUCGUAACUGGCAGACACGGUUUUUGGUAGGCAUGAACAUUCAUGGACCAAUCGGUUUGCGGUUCGAAUUCGAUAAGGUUUCGGGUUUAUAAAUUUCAACCCCAUUCGGAUAUUAUAAAAGUACGAUACAUAUUCAGUACAGGUUAGUCGGUCCGGUUUGGAUUUAAUAACAUCUCUAAAGACCGGUUUGAACCCGAUAUAAAUUCAGAUUUCAGAUCUUUAUUAGGUUUUUGGUUCCAAAAUAUAGAUAUGUGUUUAGUUAUACCUGAAAUUCAAAUAAAGAUCCAAUAAAACAAAGAUCAAAACCAAAAAAAAUUAAAUAAGAAAUGAGAAAUGCUCUUGUGACGACUCUCUUUGUAUAUAUUUCAGGUAUUUUGAACAACUUAUAAGAGAAAUGUAUUUUUUAGAUUUUUGUAUAUUAAAUAUAAAAAAAUCUAUUUAUUUAUAUAAUUUUGAUUGGAAUUUUUUCGGGUACUUAAAAUAUUUUGGUUCGGUUUGGGUUUUUUAAAUAGUAAAAUUUUUAACCUGUUUGAAUAGUUAAUCAGCUUUGGUACCGGAUUUGAAUAUUUUGCCCGGCCCAAAUUUUUGGAGUGCACCGAAAUUGUAUUUACAGUGAAUCCAUUUUUUUUUGCAAUUUUAGUUACAAUUUAAUGUUUUUCAAAUAUUUAUAACCCAUUUUGCAAAUUAUUUUAUUAUUCUUAUAUAUAUAAAACAUGCACAAGGUCCACCAACAGAAUGAGCCAGGCCUGCUAAUUAGUAACUUUCUUUAGGGUCAUCUUCAUCGAUAAUGAGAUGAUCUACCUGUUCAUUAGCAACCAACAUAUGAUCUCCGCGAGUUCCCACUUUCCAAUUUUGCAUAAUCCAACCAAGAACCCUACAGUUAUUUCUCAAAUUCUUGGGCCGAGAAUUCAAGACAUAAGGUCCACCAAGUAUAACUUUACAAACAUAUUUGAUUGUUUUCUUACGAUAUCUAACACUAUUAAAAGGAGAAUAUAAAGCCUUCUAAGCUAUGCCACGUAAGAUUAAAAAAUCCACCAAUCAAAACAUGGCAGCUGCUAACAUAGUGACACGUUUCCUCUCUACAGCUUAAUCGUCUCGACUUCCUACGGUUCUCUGGAAAAUAGAAAUUGUUAUGAAAAUCCUGCAUAAUAAAGUCUCGAUCUUAAUCAGGUUUCUUCAACUUCUCUCUUUUGCAAUCUCCAAAAAAUAUCCCGACAAGCUUGUGUUUGUUCAUCCUCUUCAAAAGUUUGCUUAAUUGUUUGAAAUCAGUCUUCACCUGAUGAUUACCGGUGUACCGGUUAUGAGUUAAGCGUUCCUAUUGGAAAGGAUGAUGAGGUAGACGGAUUAUACUCGGUUGAUUGAAAAGUGGUUCAGUAGGGUUUGGCGAUUAGGCGGUCAAACAAAGGAUUACUUCUGGAUCAAUUUGAGCAAUCUCAAUUUUAAUUAACUGGAGAUGUAAGAUCUUCGAUCAUGGGCGUCGGUUUAGGCGAAGGAGAGCUCAUAUGGUUAUCGGUGCUUUAAAGCUUUGUUAAAACGAAGAAGAAGAAUGGAUUGAAACUAAACGGAGAUGGAGAUUCCGGCGCAGCACACGGCGGAGAAGAAUCGUGGAACGUGAUAGUCGAGGAAGCUCUUCAUGAAAGGCACGUCGCGGGCCAAGCAGUUUCCUUCGUCUUCCGCCAUCUCGGCGCUAAUCAGUAAGGAUUCGAUCAGUGUGAAGAAACGAAGCAUUGGAUUUGGGGUCAGCAGGUGUGCAAGCUUCUAUGUGCCUCCCCUAAUCAAUCAGGUUCCAUCUCUUUUUUUUUCUCUCUCUCUCAAUAUCAUGCAUCUCCCCUUAUGAAAUUGUAUGAUGCAUUGCAUUUGUCGGAGCUGUUUAGUAGGUUCGGAGGUGCAGACACAAGGUAAGAUUAUUCCAACUCUCUCGAAACUGCUCAGAUGCUUAGAAUAGACCACAUAAGCUUCUAUUUAUUGUUAUCUUUAUUUGAUCCAUGUCUUCUUAAGAGAUCUCGAACUGGAUUAUGUAUGAAGACGUUGGUCUUCUAGGAUUUCGUGUGAGAUUACUUGAAAUCAAUCAAGUAUUUGAAUCAAUCCGUCAAGCUUUUCACCACCAGGUUCAUAUCUUUCUCCCUCACGACUCCCAUUUAAUCUUAACCCAAUCUUUUUUUCAUGCUUUCAUUGGAGCUGUUUGGUACAUGUGUGGUUGUGGAGCUGCAGAAACUGGAUACAAAUUAUUCUGAGUCUCUCAGAUGCUUAGUACAGCCACGUAAUCUUUCCUUCCCUUCCCCCUAUCUUAUUUUGUUAUAAUUGCUAAGGUAAGAGCUUAAUAAUGUAUAGAAUGUGAUUAUUAUCUUAUAUAAGUUGCAGGUAUGGAUUCUGUAAAAUCAGUAUAUGAAAUUCAUUGUAUAAAUUAUUUUUUCACGUGCAAAAGGUCAAGUGGAAUCUGUGAUUCCUUCGGAAUAUAUGUCUCCCCCAUCUUCCCCAUUCCGUAAGACCCUCUUUCCUCUGUUUUGACCUUUCCUCACAAAAGCUUCUGAACUUUUGUACAAAGUUGGAUAAUUGGUCACUUCACAGAGUCUGCAGAAGCUACUGCACAGAAAAACUGAAGCAUUCCUUUCAAAUGACUACUAUGAGUCAGACAUUGCAUGGAUGGACUUGGCUUCAUUUGAAUCCGAGAUGAUAAAGCCACAACUGAUCUGAAACUCUUUGGUGUCAAUCUAAAGCUAUUGGAAGACAAUCUCCCGCUUAACAGAGUGUACAAAUUAAAAGAUGUGUCUGCUGCUCCAAUUCGUUUUUUUCAGUGACAUGAAGGAGUUGUUGGUCGGAUUUCACUGAGUAUCAAAAUGAAGCUCCAAAAGCAGAAGUUACACGAUGAAGAAUAGCUCCAAAAGCAGAAGUUACACGAUGAAGAAUCUGGAGCUGAGAAAACUGAAUAUUAGUAGCUGCGGACAAGCCGGACGAGUCUUAUGACUGAGGACAGGAGUUUACAAACGACGUAAUAACUUUGAGGAUAUGAGUAUACAUAAAAGACACUAAAAGAGAUUGCGGAUAGAAAGCUUGGGAACACCAAGAAGCCAUAAAAUGAAAACAAGACAAAACAUUAUUAUAUGGAGUAAGCUUCUCACUACAAUAAGUUAAUUCUUAUAGUACACAAGUGCUGCUUUUAUUCUUUUCGAAAGAGCACCUACCUUUUAUAUUUAAUAGUUUCCUACAAAAUAUAGAAAAGACUAAAUCAUUAUUCAUUUUUUAUUGAUUUACUUUCCUGUAAACCAAAUUUUCCACCAUGAAAAAAAUGUAAAUGAUUAUAAUAAUGAUUAAAAAUAUACGUUAUUUCUUC
Brassica napus (rape) is the source of this 5494-nucleotide long non-coding RNA. RefSeq lists it as uncharacterized. NCBI's taxonomy places the organism in Eukaryota, Viridiplantae, Streptophyta, Magnoliopsida, Brassicales, Brassicaceae. The transcript is spliced from 5 exons. The record is from RefSeq and is a predicted model, not a curated record.